UGGGGAAUUUUGGACAAUGGGCGAAAGCCUGAUCCAGCAAUGCCGCGUGCAGGAUGAAGGCCUUCGGGUUGUAAACUGCUUUUGUACGGAGCGAAAAGGCUCUGGCUAAUACCUGGGGCACAUGACGGUACCGUAAGAAUAAGCACCGGCUAACUACGUGCCAGCAGCCGCGGUAAUACGUAGGGUGCGCGCGUUAAUCGGAAUUACUGGGCGUAAAGGGUGCGCAGGCGGUCUUGCAAGUCAGAUGUGAAAGCCCCGGGCUUAACCUGGGAAUUGCGUUUGAAACUACAAGACUAGAGGGCAGCAGAGGGGAGUGGAAUUCCAUGUGUAGCAGUGAAAUGCGUAGAGAUGUGGAAGAACACCGAUGGCGAAGGCAGCUCCCUGGGUUGACACUGACGCUCAUGCACGAAAGCGUGGGGAGCAAACA
This 427-nucleotide ribosomal RNA is filed under the name uncultured bacterium. Its description in RNAcentral is "bacterial SSU rRNA". It matches the Rfam family "Bacterial small subunit ribosomal RNA", at positions 355 to 774 of the family's 1533-position model. The record is from RNAcentral.